AUUAAGAUCCGGAAUAUUGUUUAAGUUUUUCCAAAAUUCAAUCAUGUAUCGUGGUUACGUUGAUUUUAAUUCAGACGAACUCCGUGAGGCGGCUAGUAAGAAUGUCCGCCAAAAUGUUAUGGUGUUUUCGGGAAUGAUAGCCGCAAUACGUAUCGUUCCUUUCUUCCUACGCAAACUUGGUUAUUUGUAAAAUGUAGGUUAAAAAUCGGCAGUCACAAUUAAAAAUCUCUAAAUUCUAUACGAUGUACAAAAUUUGAUGAUGAUUUUCAUCAGAUGGUGAGGGACUAGAAGAAGCCCUAAGAAAAAUUGGUUUUUGAAAGUCUAAAGGUUAACCUAUACUUUUUCUUAUAUAUUGCAGCUCUACUCUUAAAAUAUGAUUUUUAGAUGAAACUCAAGAAUUCAUUUUAUUUUGUACUGUGCACAUUCUUUAUAUCUACUUUGAGUUGCCCUAAAUUCUUGUGCCUGAUUUAACAUAUAUAUUUUGGACACUAAUGGGAACAUCGAAGGACCUAACAAAAAUUGUGACGUAUGUCGAUAUUUUUGCUCUACAUGCUGAUUUUGGAAAAACAUUCCAGCUUUUUUAAUCUUUCGGAAUAGACUUUUAACCAUUAAAUUAUAAAACAAAAUUGUUAUAAAAUAUAUCUUUUAACCAAGCCUUUUUUAGUAAUAGUAAAUA
Molecule: long non-coding RNA, 676 nt
Organism: Teleopsis dalmanni
Lineage: Eukaryota; Metazoa; Arthropoda; Insecta; Diptera; Diopsidae
Exons: 5
Source: RefSeq, a predicted model, not a curated record